CAGCCGCCACGGUAAUACGUAGGGUGCGAGCGUUAAUCGGAAUUACUGGGCGUAAAGCGUGCGCAGGCGGUUAUAUAAGACAGAUGUGAAAUCCCCGGGCUCAACCUGGGACCUGCAUUUGUGACUGUAUAGCUAGAGUACGGUAGAGGGGGAUGGAAUUCCGCGUGUAGCAGUGAAAUGCGUAGAUAUGCGGAGGAACACCGAUGGCGAAGGCAAUCCCCUGGACCUGCACUGACGCUCAUGCACGAAAGCGUGGGGAGCAAACAGGAUUAGAUACCCCAGUAGUCCCUGUCUCUUAUAC
This 301-nucleotide ribosomal RNA is filed under the name uncultured bacterium. RNAcentral describes it as "partial 16S ribosomal RNA". It matches the Rfam family "Bacterial small subunit ribosomal RNA", at positions 509 to 807 of the family's 1533-position model. The record is from RNAcentral.